Molecule: ribosomal RNA, 253 nt
Filed under: uncultured bacterium
Lineage: Bacteria
Description: partial 16S ribosomal RNA
Rfam family: Bacterial small subunit ribosomal RNA
Source: RNAcentral
UACAGAGGGGGCAAGCGUUGUCCGGAAUUACUGGGCGUACAGCGCGCGCAGGCGGUCCGCUACGUGCCGUGUGACAAUCGUCGGCUUAACCGACGGAGGCCAGGGUACACGGACGGACUGGAGGCAGAGAGAGGGAUGUGGAAUACCCGGUGGAGCGGUGAAAUGCGUAGAGAUCGGGUGGAACACCAGGGGCGAAGGCGGCAUCCUGGCUCUGUCCUGACGCUGAGGCGCGAGAGCGUGGGGAGCAAACCGG